CACGUAGAAGUAGGCACCUCCAGUGUAGUAGGAGUCAUCAUCGACGGUGGCGUCUGGCUCCUGGGCUCCAUCGUCUGGUCGCAGCAAUCGGGUAUAGAAAGGGGGAAAAGGGGGAACAAAGCAACCGUGAGUACUCAUCCAAAGUACUCGCAAGCACAGUGCUACACUACAUAUGUAUGCAUUGGUAUCAAAUGGAAAAGGGGGUAUCAUAUGUGGACUGAACUGCAGAAUGCCGGAAUAAGAGGGGGAUAGCUAGUCCUGUCGAAGACUACGCUUCUGGCAACCUCCAUCUUGCAGCAUGUAGAAGAGUAGAUGGUAAGUUUACCAAGUAUCAUCGCAUAGCAUAAUCCUACCCGGCGAUCCUCCCCUCGUCGCCCUGUUAGAGAGUGAUCACCGGGUUGUAUCUAGCACUUGGAAGGGUGUGUUUUAUUAAGUAUCCGGUUCUAGUUGUCAUAAGGUCAAGGUACAACUCCGGGUCAUCCUUUUACCGAGGGACACGACUAUUCGAAUAGAUCAACUUCCCUGCAGGGGUGCACCACAUUUCCCAACACGCUCGAUCCCCUUUGUCCAGACACACUUUUCUGGGUCAUGCCCGGCAUCAGAAGAUCAACACGUCACAGCCCUACCUAGGCACAAAAGAGAGGUCAGCACGCCGGUCUAAAUCCUAUGGCGCAGGGUCUGGGCCCAUCACCCUUUGCACACCUGCACGUUGCGAACGCGGCCGGAAGCAGAACUAGACCCUUAAUACAAGAGCAGGCUUCCAGUCCAAUCCGGCGCGCGCCGCUCAGUCGCUGACGUCACGAAGGCUUCGGCUGAUACCACAAUGUCGAGUGCCCAUAAUUGUCCCUGCAUAGAUGGUUAGUGCGUAUAGGCCAGUGGCCAGACUCAGAUCAAAUACCAAGAUCUUGUUAAGCGUGUUAAGUAUCCGCGAACGCCGACCAGGGCCAGGCCCACCUCUCUCCUAAAUGGUCUCAACCUGCCAUGUCGCUCCGCCACAAAGUAACAGUCAGGGGCCGUCGGGAACCCAGGCCCACCUCUACUGGGAUGGAGGCACCUGCCCCUUCAGCCCCCAUCUCCCAACAGUAUCAUAAGUAAUGUAACAGUAUAAAGUAUAUAGCAUAUGCCCGUGAUCACCUCCCGAAGUGAUCACGGCCCAGUAGUAUAGCAUGGCAGACGGACAAGAGUGUAGGGCCACUGAUGGAACACUAGCAUCCUAUACUAAGCAUUUAGGAUUGCAGGUAAGGUAUCAACAGUUGUAGCAGCAAUGACAGGCUAUGCAUCAGGAAAGGAUUAACGGAAAGCAGUAACAUGCUACACUACUCUAAUGCAAGCAGUAUAGAGAAGAUUAGGCGAUAUCUGGUGAUCAAGGGGGGGCUUUCCUGGUUACUCUGGCAAGAAGGAGGGGUCAUCUCCGAUGUAGUCGAACACACGGACAUCGGCACCGGUCUCGGAGUCUACCGAAAAGGAGUAAUGGAGAGGGAACACAAUAAAUAAUAGAGCAAUCAAAUGUAACACAAAGCAAGUCGCGGCAAUACGUUGUGUUAGGGGUGACCUAACGUAGGGAUAGGCGAUACCGGCGAAGGGGGGAAACAUCCAGGAAAGUAUUCUCGGUGUUUCGUGUUUUUGGACAGAUGAACCGGAGAGGGAAAGUUGCGUGUUCUCUAUGCUAGGGAUGUGUGACGGACGAAUGGGCUGCGUAUUCGGAUUCGUCUCGUCGUUCUGAGCAAUUUUCAUGUAUAAAACUUUUUCGUCUAACAUGCGGAUUAUUUUAUAUGAAUUUUUAAAGCUUUAAUAAUAUUCUAGAAUUUUUGGAAUUGUUUUGAAUUUGAAAGUUAAUUUCUAAAGUGCAGUCAACCCAAUCAACUUUUGACUAGUCAAAAGGGAUAGCAUGACCCACAUGUCAUGGUCAUAGGUGUAGAUUACUUAAGCUAAAUUAAUUUAAACUAGGGGGCCAUAUGUCAUUGUUUAUAUAGACUAAUUAGCACUAAAUUACAUCAUACCUAAACUAGCCCUAAUUAAGCCUAGCCUAAUUAAACCAUGGGCCGUCCGGUGGCAUAGCCAGCCGUGGCUGUGUACACACGCGCACACACGGAACACAAUAGCUAGGGGUUACUUCUGUUCCCUGUUAACAGAACAAAGCAUUUUGCGAUUUUUAUAGAAUUUAAUCCAUGUCGUAUUUGAAUUUAGUCCAAUGGAAUAAUUUGGAGGUUUUCAUGUGAACUCCUAACACAAAUUAAUUUCAACGAAGUUAGACUUUAUACGACCAUAGUUUAUGUCGCCAUCUAGAGAGCUAAGAAGGUAGAAAUAGAAAAAGCUAGCCAGCGCUACAGUAACAUUCAGUUACUGUAGCAGCGGCAGCAGAGCAGCGAAACGCAGCGGCAUGAGCGGCGAGGGUGCGGCGGCAAGCAGGCAAGCAGCAGCAGUCAGCGGCAUGGCGCGUACGCGGCCAGGCAAUGCCGCGCACGGCCGGGAUGCGGCCCGGGCAGCGUUGCCGGAGCCAGUGGUAGGCGGAGGCGACGACAACGCUGAGCGUGGGCGGGAGACUGCGGAGGCGCGCGCGUGGCCGGGGGGUGGCGCGGGGAUGGACAUGAGAAGGAGCAGACGCGCACCGGAGCACGAGUGCGGCCACGGCGUGGUCCGGCCACGACGGCCAUGGGCGGAUGCACGGCUGGGCUCUUUCGAUCGGGCAUGACGAGCUGCGUGGAACGAUGGCAGCAUCAAGGCAGAAGGCAACCGAAACUAUGCCGACGACGUGCUAAGGCAGAGGCAGGGGCUCCGGUUCAAUGGAAAUUGAGGACACGAACAUGUUGUUGACGAACCAAAGGAGCUACGCGUAUGUUUCACUAGAGCACCAGAAGCACGGCAGUAGUUUCAACUCAUCCCGAGGAGGACAAGGACGAUGACGGUGAGCUCGACAACGGCGGCGGAGCAGCAGUAAUGGCGACGACAACUAAAGGGCAAGAUUAAUGGCGCUAGCAGAGGGGAAAUGUUGGGGUGCUUACGUAGGAGCACACGGUGGCUCAUUGGAAGGUUAGGAGCGGCAGAGGGCGACGGGAUCGUCGACGAACGCCGGCGACAGCAGAGGAGGAGAUCGGCUCGAUCCGUCGACUUGGGACUCUCCUGCUCGAUCUGCUCCUCGAGGAAGACGUACUGUACGACGAAGGAGCGGCCGGGCAUGGCCUCACCGCACGGGGACGACGGCGGGGGUGAGGAUGACGAAGGCCAUGGCGGGCAGCGCUUGGGCGCGAACAAAAAUGACGAUGACGGCGCGAGAGAGGGAGAUGAUGGGGACUAGGGUUCAUGUACGGGGUCUAGGGGGGCCUUAUAGAUGUCAGGGAGGGGCUGGAUGCUCGGCACGUGGCCAUCCAUGGCCACGGACGUGGGCGCGGCGUCCACCCAGCCUCUGAUGAACAGAGAGGUUGGGGACGAGCUCUAGGUGGGUUGGGCCUUGCCUGUUUAUUUCAAGGCCCAGGUACACAGUAGUUUAGUUUCUGUUUUCUUUUCCUUUUAUUGCUCCUGUUUUUUUCAAUUAAUUUUUGUAUCAAAUGAAUUUUGUUGCCAUUAAAACUUUGCCCAAAAACACUUUGUAUUAUUAGGAGCUAUCACACAAUUUUUGGUCGCAAUUGGAGUUAAAUAAAUAAUUGCUUAUUUUGAAAAGGCUAUUUUUAUUUUCUGUUAGAAUACUUAUUAAUUUCCUAGGAAUUUAUUUGUGAGCCCAACAAAGUUGGUUUCAACAUCAAGAUGAUCAGGGAAUUUAUAGAACUAUUCGAACAUUUUAGUUUUACUGUUUGAAGAACUAAUUAUUUUGACUUGAUUUUAAAAUUUGAACUUGAACUCGGUUUGGACCAAAGUGCCGUUUAGCAAAUUAAGUGCAAUGACAUGGCACCGUUAGGGUGUGAUUACUGUAGCUUAACUACUAGGGUGUUACAAAUCUCCUCCACUACAAGAAAUCUCGUCCCGAGAUUUAAGAGGUGGAGUAGGGGAAAGUGCUGGUUACGAAAUUCUAACGAGUGUUCCCGGUCUUGGUUGCUCUUCUCGAAUAGGUCGACCCACUACGUUGAUGUCUUCAUUUCCCUACUCCGGGUCAUCAUGAUAAAGUCGUCAUCCUAUCUUCGGAAAACUCCAUCGUACUUACGGAAGAAUAAAGGGUGGGCAUUCUGGGAGAACAGACCUCUGCGAGGUCGACUUUAUGGUUGAUAAUAUCGAGGAAGGUGGUGGAAGUAACUCUCGAAUUGAAACUUACAAAAAUAUCGAGAGCAAAGUAAGGAGGUAUCAUGGGAAGUUUCGAGCGGGCAGGCAAUCGUUCGAUGCCUGAAACAGGGCGUGAAAAGGGGUUCAAAGCAAUGGGAAUAAGUAUUGUGUCUGAUACCAGAAUUGAUGAUCUCUCGGAAGGUGGCUCGUGAAUCACAUACGAGGCCAAGUGUGAGGAAUUAACUUUGGAAACCGGGGGUGUAUAGGAGAGUCAGGUUUCGAUCCUGUGGAACUGUGGGUUAUGGGCCCACCAUGUGGUUAAACAUAGGGAAGGCAUUGACACCUUGCACGGUCAUGAUAGCAAGACAUGUCAAAGGGUAGCCUAUCAGUUAUGUCGACAACAAUGUCGAUACCAAGGGCGAGGGACGAAGAGAACCAUUUUCCUACUCGUUGAACGAGGCGGACCAUUAGGCAAAGUUCUCGUCCAUCGGUGGCUAUCAGAAUGUAAUCAACAAAAGUAACAUGGUCUUUCUGGCAGAGUGGUACAACGAGGUGUUUACAUAAGCAGGGAUAUAUUACUGCUUAUAUAAUAUAGAUCACAAGAAGGUUUAAACAAACCAAUGGAAAGGAAAAGUGAUUAUCAGGUUUAAACAGAACAAUGGAAUGGAAAAUGUGUUUAAACACAUAUUUCAAGGGUAUAUCCUUCCGAAGGACAAGCAGAGCAUGAUAUCCAUGAAAGGAUAUAAUGUAGAAAACUAUUUAGGUAAGGUGAGAGAAAUUUCAUGACAUUACCCAUACAAUGGUGUUUGGAUAAUUGAGCAAGAAACAUUUAGCAUUGGGAUUCAAAUGUUCUUUGUUGAAAAUUGGAGUACCAUAGACAUGCUUCGAGAUAGCGUUGGCGUGGUCUUCAAGCAAAGGUUAGACUCAGGAUGCCUGAGAAGAGGUGUGACAAAAAUCGACGAGAUGACAAUAUAAGAUUCUCAGGAAAUGAACUAUAGGAGCAAGUUCUGAAACAAGGGUUCAUCAUUAAACCAUGGAGAGGAUGAGGAGGUGGCGGAUGGACACAGCGGCAAUUCAUCGAGGCUUCCAAAAAUAUGGAUUUCCACAAUUAAGUGAACAAGGUGAUAGCAUUGGACACACCGAAGUAUAUAAUGAGGUAUGUUUGAUGAUAACAUCCACAAUUAAAUAUUGAAUGAAAAUGCACCUGGAAAUAUGGACCAAGUAGGACGAUCAAAGUUAGAAUGGUGAUUUGAUAACUAAACUAUCGGCCAUUCACUUCUAAACAAUAGGGUUGCUAGAAGUUUUGAAGUCGCACAUCAUAGAUCAAUUGUCGGUUUUCCGGUUAGAAACAACACGGUGAACAAGGAGCGAACGGAUAUGGCAAGGAGUAUCACCUGUAUCAAGAAUUCUUAAGAGGUGGUGAAAUUCUCACGACAUUCUUGACAUAAAAAAUGGUAAUACUCCAAGGUAAAGAACAAAUGCUGGAUAGUAAGGAUCUCAAGGUAUAUCACGAAACACGAACAAGUUUGUGUUGAACAUAAGGCAAUAAAGUGGUCGGUGAUAACACAAAUCAUUGAGGGAAAGGAUGGUACUUCUCAUCAUGAAUUCAAUUGAUAUCCUGGAAGGAGUCAAAAUGUUGACAAUGAUCAUGACAAAUUUGUCGAGAGGUUUCAAGAAGAUAUAAUCGAUCGGUGAUGACAUCAAGUCAACAGAACGAUGAAGCAAAAAAUUAUUGGAACCACGAGUACGACACAAACUCGAAAUCAGGCUUGUUGUUCAAGACGAAAUGAUAUGACGAGGAAAAUCGAUGUAAGCUUAGCUCAUCGUCAAAAGUGGUGCUCCGGGGAUAAGGCCCAGGUAGCAUAGUUAAAAAUUAGCCCAAUAAUGGUAUAGCCGAUCAGGCUAGGAAUGAUGGGAAGGAUUAUUAAACUCAUAAGCAACGAAAAUUAACUAGGGUUAUCAAACCGGAAUGAGGAAUCGGUUCACAUAUCGGUGUUCUCGGUUGACGACAACCCAGAACCCAGAAAAAUUGAAAUCGGUGAGAAAUAACAGUUGAUGAAGAACCCAUAAGAAGUUAUGCAGUUCCAUGACAUUAUCAAGAUAUCCUAGUGUAAUACUCGAUGGUAGAUCAAAGUAAAGGUUGGACAGGUGCAAUGAUCUACACAAGACAAGUACUUAACUUGUCCGAUAAAUGGUAUUAAUGAGAAAAUAUGGUCGGAACCAUUAUUGCAAAGGAUCAAACAUAGAUACAGGACGAACUUAUAACAAGGGGAUUAAUAUCAUUUACAAGAAGCUUCGAUGAUAAGUUUCACAUCGGGUCCAUGGGCAUGAACGCAAAGGCUCAAGGUCCACUCCCACUUCUUCCGUGCAUAACCUUUCAUUUUACUUCUCGCUUUUGAUGAAGCUGUGUACAAAUUUUAUUUAGAAAAAUACCAUAAGAGUAUGGAAUGAAUUCAACAAUAUAACCAUCGCAUAAAGCAUUCUUUUCAUGAUCUACAAGCAUAGAAUAUUUACUACUCUGCACAUAAGCAAAAUUCUUCUUAUUCAGAAUAGUGGGAGUAUCAUAAGAAACUCGAAUACUAUAAAUUGUUUCCACAUUAAAAGAGUAAUGUUCAGGAAAAGGGUAAUCAUAAUCAUGACAAGUUUUAUAAAUAUAAUCAUCACUAUUUUUUAUAGCAUAAGUAUCAUCACAAUAAUUAUCAUAAGUAGCAACUUUGUUCUCAUCAUAAUCGAUUGAAACCUCUUUCAAGAUAGUGGAAUCAUUACUAAAUAAAGUCACGACCUCUCCAAAUCCACUUUCAUAAUUGUCAAAAUAAUAUUCAACAUCCUCCAAAAUAGUGGGAUCAUUACUUCCUAAAGUUGACACUCUUCCAAACCCACUUUCAUCAAUAUAACCACGUAGAAGCUUCCGGGUUUACACGGAUUAGAAAAGGCAUAGCUUCAACCCAUCGGGGCAUCAUAGAAACAUAUACCACAAUCUUCAAGAGUAAAUAGCACCAGCUCAAAAGCAGAGAAUGGUUGGCCAAACACAGAAUAGGAUUUACUAAUGGCAUUAUAUAUCAUAGGAAGAACUUCCAAAGUGAUUGAAUAUGAAGGACGUUGUCGGGUAAAAUCUAACAAAGGAUCCGAUGGUCCUCAAGGGAUCUGAUGUAAGCAUCGGUAUUCAACCAGAGGAAGAAAUAAUCCAAGAAGAUCAAAUUAUAGAAACAACUGACUUAAUUCAAAGCUCAAUUGCAAAGGAAGUAUGAAUUCCAAAACAAGGUAUCAGAAGCAAUGCUCUGAUUAGGGAUGGAUAAGUUGAAUAGACUUAGGGGUACAUUCGACGACAACUUGAUUGGUCGAGGACCAGCUCAUGUUCAAAAUGACGUCUGAGCCAGAAGGAUGAAUCCUAGGGUCUGAUUAAGGAAUGUGAGAAUUCCCAACAUAAUGAUUCAACAGACUCAAAUUGAUAAUGACUAAGGAUGCCAAUAAGAUUACCGGACUUAUGAGGUUAAUCAUAAUGCAAGCAAGCAAGAAUUUCAAGAGCAAAUAGGUUGUUGAGGAUUUUCGGGGAUCGAAUGGUAUUUCUAAGACUUUUGUGAAAUACAUGAAUCAACUGGGGAUGAGCGGAUACUUGAUAACUGCGAGAAAUUAUCCGCAAGGGUAUGUCUGCGGCAAAGAGCUGCAAAGCGGUGGGCACAAAGGAUUCUCGAAUUAUCGAAGAAAUUUUCAGGGUAUCAAGUAAUAACAGGGGAAACUAGGAACAAAAGUAAGAACGACAAGUGUAAGCAGUUAUCCAUAAGGAUUUAUCGGUGGUCGGGAAUAGCAAAAGUGGUGGGCACAAGGUCUCGAAAGAAUAACGGAGAGUAUCUUCGGAAUCUUCUGGUGAAGCAGGCCAUCAUCUGGAAUGAAGGGGCUCUUCGGGAGAAAGUAUUAACGAGAACCUAGAGUUAGAGUUAGCAAAAUCAUUUAACCCAAAUAGAAGAGAGUUCAGAGUCCCAGAGUAAGGAUCGAGGAGUAAAAGAUCCUAAUACCACCCAAAUGGUGACGUGGUCCCGUAAGACACACAACCAUGUUAGUAAAAAGUUUUAUAAUGUCUAGACUCAACUUCGGCCAAGGAGUGUGGAAGGGGGGAUUCCUACAGGCAGUCGGCUCUAAUACCAACUUGUGACGCCCUCGAUUUGACCUUACACUAAUCAUACACGCAAACGUGUACGAUCAUGAUCAGGGACUCACAGGAAGAUAUCACAACACAACUCUACAAAUAAAAUAAGUCAUACAAGCAUCAUAUUACAAGCCAGGGGCCUCGAGGGCUCGAAUACAAGAGCUUGAUCAUAGAUGAGUCAGCGGAAGCAACAAUAUCUGAGUACAGACAUAAGUUAAACAAGAAUGUCUUAAGAAGGCUAGUACAAACUGGGAUACAGGUCGAAAGAGGCGCAAACCUCCUGCCUGGGAUCCUCCUAAACUACUCCUGGUCGUCGUCAGCGGGCUGCACGUAGUAGGCACCUCCAGUGUAGUAGGAGUCAUCAUCGACGGUGACGUCUGGCUCCUGGGCUCCAUCGUCUGGUCGCAGCAAUCGGGUAUAGAAAGGGGGAAAAGGGGGAACAAAGCAACCGUGAGUACUCAUCCAAAGUACUCGCAAGCACGGAGCUACACUACAUAUGUAUGCAUUGGUAUCAAAUGGAAAAGGGGGUAUCAUAUGUGGACUGAACUGCAGAAUGCCGGAAUAAGAG
This 8903-nucleotide long non-coding RNA is filed under the name Triticum aestivum (bread wheat). RNAcentral describes it as "long non-coding RNA (TAES_LNC010480)". Lineage: Eukaryota; Viridiplantae; Streptophyta; Magnoliopsida; Poales; Poaceae. The record is from RNAcentral.